RNAcentral lists this ribosomal RNA (2844 nucleotides) under Salmonella enterica subsp. enterica serovar Enteritidis. RNAcentral's name for it is "bacterial LSU rRNA". It matches the Rfam family "Bacterial large subunit ribosomal RNA". Lineage: Bacteria; Pseudomonadati; Pseudomonadota; Gammaproteobacteria; Enterobacterales; Enterobacteriaceae. The record is from RNAcentral.
GGGUUGUGAGGUUAAGCGACUAAGCGUACACGGUGGAUGCCCUGGCAGUCAGAGGCGAUGAAGGGCGUGCUAAUCUGCGAUAAGCGCCGGUAAGGUGAUAUGAACCGUUAUAACCGGCGAUACCCGAAUGGGGAAACCCAGUGUGAUUCGUCACACUAUCAUUAACUGAAUCCAUAGGUUAAUGAGGCGAACCGGGGGAACUGAAACAUCUAAGUACCCCGAGGAAAAGAAAUCAACCGAGAUUCCCCCAGUAGCGGCGAGCGAACGGGGAGGAGCCCAGAGCCUGAAUCAGCAUGUGUGUUAGUGGAAGCGUCUGGAAAGGCGCGCGAUACAGGGUGACAGCCCCGUACACAAAAGCGCAUGUGCUGUGAGCUCGAUGAGUAGGGCGGGACACGUGGUAUCCUGUCUGAAUAUGGGGGGACCAUCCUCCAAGGCUAAAUACUCCUGACUGACCGAUAGUGAACCAGUACCGUGAGGGAAAGGCGAAAAGAACCCCGGCGAGGGGAGUGAAAAAGAACCUGAAACCGUGUACGUACAAGCAGUGGGAGCNNNNNNNNNNNNNNNNNNNNNNNNGGGCGUUAAGUUGCAGGGUAUAGACCCGAAACCCGGUGAUCUAGCCAUGGGCAGGUUGAAGGUUGGGUAACACUAACUGGAGGACCGAACCGACUAAUGUUGAAAAAUUAGCGGAUGACCUGUGGCUGGGGGUGAAAGGCCAAUCAAACCGGGAGAUAGCUGGUUCUCCCCGAAAGCUAUUUAGGUAGCGCCUCGUGAAUUCAUCUCCGGGGGUAGAGCACUGUUUCGGCUAGGGGGCCAUCCCGGCUUACCAACCCGAUGCAAACUGCGAAUACCGGAGAAUGUUAUCACGGGAGACACACGGCGGGUGCUAACGUCCGUCGUGAAGAGGGAAACAACCCAGACCGCCAGCUAAGGUCCCAAAGUCAUGGUUAAGUGGGAAACGAUGUGGGAAGGCCCAGACAGCCAGGAUGUUGGCUUAGAAGCAGCCAUCAUUUAAAGAAAGCGUAAUAGCUCACUGGUCGAGUCGGCCUGCGCGGAAGAUGUAACGGGGCUAAACCAUGCACCGAAGCUGCGGCAGCGACACUGUGUGUUGUUGGGUAGGGGAGCGUUCUGUAAGCCUGCGAAGGUGGCCUGUGAGGGUUGCUGGAGGUAUCAGAAGUGCGAAUGCUGACAUAAGUAACGAUAAAGCGGGUGAAAAGCCCGCUCGCCGGAAGACCAAGGGUUCCUGUCCAACGUUAAUCGGGGCAGGGUGAGUCGACCCCUAAGGCGAGGCCGAAAGGCGUAGUCGAUGGGAAACGGGUUAAUAUUCCCGUACUUGGUGUUACUGCGAAGGGGGGACGGAGAAGGCUAUGUUGGCCGGGCGACGGUUGUCCCGGUUUAAGCGUGUAGGUGUGUGUUCCAGGUAAAUCCGGUUCACUUUAACACUGAGGCGUGACGACGAGGCACUACGGUGCUGAAGCAACAAAUGCCCUGCUUCCAGGAAAAGCCUCUAAGCAUCAGGUAACAUCAAAUCGUACCCCAAACCGACACAGGUGGUCAGGUAGAGAAUACCAAGGCGCUUGAGAGAACUCGGGUGAAGGAACUAGGCAAAAUGGUGCCGUAACUUCGGGAGAAGGCACGCUGACACGUAGGUGAAGUGAUUUACUCAUGGAGCUGAAGUCAGUCGAAGAUACCAGCUGGCUGCAACUGUUUAUUAAAAACACAGCACUGUGCAAACACGAAAGUGGACGUAUACGGUGUGACGCCUGCCCGGUGCCGGAAGGUUAAUUGAUGGGGUCAGCGCAAGCGAAGCUCCUGAUCGAAGCCCCGGUAAACGGCGGCCGUAACUAUAACGGUCCUAAGGUAGCGAAAUUCCUUGUCGGGUAAGUUCCGACCUGCACGAAUGGCGUAAUGAUGGCCAGGCUGUCUCCACCCGAGACUCAGUGAAAUUGAACUCGCUGUGAAGAUGCAGUGUACCCGCGGCAAGACGGAAAGACCCCGUGAACCUUUACUAUAGCUUGACACUGAACAUUGAGCCUUGAUGUGUAGGAUAGGUGGGAGGCUUUGAAGUGUGGACGCCAGUCUGCAUGGAGCCGACCUUGAAAUACCACCCUUUAAUGUUUGAUGUUCUAACGUGGACCCGUUACCCGGGUUGCGGACAGUGUCUGGUGGGUAGUUUGACUGGGGCGGUCUCCUCCUAAAGAGUAACGGAGGAGCACGAAGGUUGGCUAAUCCUGGUCGGACAUCAGGAGGUUAGUGCAAUGGCAUAAGCCAGCUUGACUGCGAGCGUGACGGCGCGAGCAGGUGCGAAAGCAGGUCAUAGUGAUCCGGUGGUUCUGAAUGGAAGGGCCAUCGCUCAACGGAUAAAAGGUACUCCGGGGAUAACAGGCUGAUACCGCCCAAGAGUUCAUAUCGACGGCGGUGUUUGGCACCUCGAUGUCGGCUCAUCACAUCCUGGGGCUGAAGUAGGUCCCAAGGGUAUGGCUGUUCGCCAUUUAAAGUGGUACGCGAGCUGGGUUUAGAACGUCGUGAGACAGUUCGGUCCCUAUCUGCCGUGGGCGCUGGAGAACUGAGGGGGGCUGCUCCUAGUACGAGAGGACCGGAGUGGACGCAUCACUGGUGUUCGGGUUGUCAUGCCAAUGGCACUGCCCGGUAGCUAAAUGCGGAAGAGAUAAGUGCUGAAAGCAUCUAAGCACGAAACUUGCCCCGAGAUGAGUUCUCCCUGAGACUUAGAGUCUCCUGAAGGAACGUUGAAGACGACGACGUUGAUAGGCCGGGUGUGUAAGCGCAGCGAUGCGUUGAGCUAACCGGUACUAAUGAACCGUGAGGCUUAACCUUACAACGCCGAAG